RNAcentral lists this ribosomal RNA (3508 nucleotides) under Drosophila melanogaster (fruit fly). Its description in RNAcentral is "eukaryotic LSU rRNA". The stretch from base 573 to 3508 matches the Rfam family "Eukaryotic large subunit ribosomal RNA", at positions 1 to 2561 of the family's 3401-position model. Lineage: Eukaryota; Metazoa; Arthropoda; Insecta; Diptera; Drosophilidae. The record is from RNAcentral.
ACUCUAAGCGGUGGAUCACUCGGCUCAUGGGUCGAUGAAGAACGCAGCAAACUGUGCGUCAUCGUGUGAACUGCAGGACACAUGAACAUCGACAUUUUGAACGCAUAUCGCAGUCCAUGCUGUUAUGUACUUUAAUUAAUUUUAUAGUGCUGCUUGGACUACAUAUGGUUGAGGGUUGUAAGACUAUGCUAAUUAAGUUGCUUAUAAAUUUUUAUAAGCAUAUGGUAUAUUAUUGGAUAAAUAUAAUAAUUUUUAUUCAUAAUAUUAAAAAAUAAAUGAAAAACAUUAUCUCACAUUUGAAUGUGAAAAACGAAGAGAAAUAUUUUCUUUUUCAAUCAAAUAAUACUGAGAAAUGUCUAGCAUAAAAAAUUGAAAUAUUUUUCAUCUAGAAUUGUCUCUUAUUAAUGAUUCGGAAAUAGAAAAAUCUUGGUUAUGUUAUUAUUCUUCGUUGGUUCGUUAAAAAUGGAUAAAUAAAAACUUUGCAUACAAGAAUUAAUAAAAAUGUUAUAACGAAUUUAAUUAAAUGUUUUAUCAUUAUAUAUAAAGAAUUUAUGGCAAGAUAAAGUUAUAUACAACCUCAACUCAUAUGGGACUACCCCUGAAUUUAAGCAUAUUAAUUAGGGGAGGAAAAGAAACUAACAAGGAUUUUCUUAGUAGCGGCGAGCGAAAAGAAAACAGUUCAGCACUAAGUCACUUUGUCUAUAUGGCAAAUGUGAGAUGCAGUGUAUGGAGCGUCAAUAUUCUAGUAUGAGAAAUUAACGAUUUAAGUCCUUCUUAAAUGAGGCCAUUUACCCAUAGAGGGUGCCAGGCCCGUAUAACGUUAAUGAUUACUAGAUGAUGUUUCCAAAGAGUCGUGUUGCUUGAUAGUGCAGCACUAAGUGGGUGGUAAACUCCAUCUAAAACUAAAUAUAACCAUGAGACCGAUAGUAAACAAGUACCGUGAGGGAAAGUUGAAAAGAACUCUGAAUAGAGAGUUAAACAGUACGUGAAACUGCUUAGAGGUUAAGCCCGAUGAACCUGAAUAUCCGUUAUGGAAAAUUCAUCAUUAAAAUUGUAAUAUUUAAAUAAUAUUAUGAGAAUAGUGUGCAUUUUUUCCAUAUAAGGACAUUGUAAUCUAUUAGCAUAUACCAAAUUUAUCAUAAAAUAUAACUUAUAGUUUAUUCCAAUUAAAUUGCUUGCAUUUUAACACAGAAUAAAUGUUAUUAAUUUGAUAAAGUGCUGAUAGAUUUAUAUGAUUACAGUGCGUUAAUUUUUCGGAAUUAUAUAAUGGCAUAAUUAUCAUUGAUUUUUGUGUUUAUUAUAUGCACUUGUAUGAUUAACAAUGCGAAAGAUUCAGGAUACCUUCGGGACCCGUCUUGAAACACGGACCAAGGAGUCUAACAUAUGUGCAAGUUAUUGGGAUAUAAACCUAAUAGCGUAAUUAACUUGACUAAUAAUGGGAUUAGUUUUUUAGCUAUUUAUAGCUAAUUAACACAAUCCCGGGGCGUUCUAUAUAGUUAUGUAUAAUGUAUAUUUAUAUUAUUUAUGCCUCUAACUGGAACGUACCUUGAGCAUAUAUGCUGUGACCCGAAAGAUGGUGAACUAUACUUGAUCAGGUUGAAGUCAGGGGAAACCCUGAUGGAAGACCGAAACAGUUCUGACGUGCAAAUCGAUUGUCAGAAUUGAGUAUAGGGGCGAAAGACCAAUCGAACCAUCUAGUAGCUGGUUCCUUCCGAAGUUUCCCUCAGGAUAGCUGGUGCAUUUUAAUAUUAUAUAAAAUAAUCUUAUCUGGUAAAGCGAAUGAUUAGAGGCCUUAGGGUCGAAACGAUCUUAACCUAUUCUCAAACUUUAAAUGGGUAAGAACCUUAACUUUCUUGAUAUGAAGUUCAAGGUUAUGAUAUAAUGUGCCCAGUGGGCCACUUUUGGUAAGCAGAACUGGCGCUGUGGGAUGAACCAAACGUAAUGUUACGGUGCCCAAAUUAACAACUCAUGCAGAUACCAUGAAAGGCGUUGGUUGCUUAAAACAGCAGGACGGUGAUCAUGGAAGUCGAAAUCCGCUAAGGAGUGUGUAACAACUCACCUGCCGAAGCAACUAGCCCUUAAAAUGGAUGGCGCUUAAGUUGUAUACCUAUACAUUACCGCUAAAGUAGAUGAUUUAUAUUACUUGUGAUAUAAAUUUUGAAACUUUAGUGAGUAGGAAGGUACAAUGGUAUGCGUAGAAGUGUUUGGCGUAAGCCUGCAUGGAGCUGCCAUUGGUACAGAUCUUGGUGGUAGUAGCAAAUAAUCGAAUGAGACCUUGGAGGACUGAAGUGGAGAAGGGUUUCGUGUGAACAGUGGUUGAUCACGAGUUAGUCGGUCCUAAGUUCAAGGCGAAAGCCGAAAAUUUUCAAGUAAAACAAAAAUGCCUAACUAUAUAAACAAAGCGAAUUAUAAUACACUUGAAUAAUUUUGAACGAAAGGGAAUACGGUUCCAAUUCCGUAACCUGUUGAGUAUCCGUUUGUUAUUAAAUAUGGGCCUCGUGCUCAUCCUGGCAACAGGAACGACCAUAAAGAAGCCGUCGAGAGAUAUCGGAAGAGUUUUCUUUUCUGUUUUAUAGCCGUACUACCAUGGAAGUCUUUCGCAGAGAGAUAUGGUAGAUGGGCUAGAAGAGCAUGACAUAUACUGUUGUGUCGAUAUUUUCUCCUCGGACCUUGAAAAUUUAUGGUGGGGACACGCAAACUUCUCAACAGGCCGUACCAAUAUCCGCAGCUGGUCUCCAAGGUGAAGAGUCUCUAGUCGAUAGAAUAAUGUAGGUAAGGGAAGUCGGCAAAUUAGAUCCGUAACUUCGGGAUAAGGAUUGGCUCUGAAGAUUGAGAUAGUCGGGCUUGAUUGGGAAACAAUAACAUGGUUUAUGUGCUCGUUCUGGGUAAAUAGAGUUUCUAGCAUUUAUGUUAGUUACUUGUUCCCCGGAUAGUUUAGUUACGUAGCCAAUUGUGGAACUUUCUUGCUAAAAUUUUUAAGAAUACUAUUUGGGUUAAACCAAUUAGUUCUUAUUAAUUAUAACGAUUAUCAAUUAACAAUCAAUUCAGAACUGGCACGGACUUGGGGAAUCCGACUGUCUAAUUAAAACAAAGCAUUGUGAUGGCCCUAGCGGGUGUUGACACAAUGUGAUUUCUGCCCAGUGCUCUGAAUGUCAAAGUGAAGAAAUUCAAGUAAGCGCGGGUCAACGGCGGGAGUAACUAUGACUCUCUUAAGGUAGCCAAAUGCCUCGUCAUCUAAUUAGUGACGCGCAUGAAUGGAUUAACGAGAUUCCUACUGUCCCUAUCUACUAUCUAGCGAAACCACAGCCAAGGGAACGGGCUUGGAAUAAUUAGCGGGAAAGAAGACCCUUUUGAGCUUGACUCUAAUCUGGCAGUGUAAGGAGACAUAAGAGGUGUAGAAUAAGUGGGAGAUAUUAGACCUCGGUUUGGUAUCGUCAAUGAAAUACCACUACUCUUAUUGUUUCCUUACUUACUUGAUUAAAUGGAACGUGUAUCAUUUCCUAGCCAU